CCGCAUCAGGUCUCCAAG
This 18-nucleotide small nuclear RNA is filed under the name Arabidopsis thaliana (thale cress). RNAcentral describes it as "snRNA_12307". The record is from RNAcentral. Lineage: Eukaryota; Viridiplantae; Streptophyta; Magnoliopsida; Brassicales; Brassicaceae.